UCAAUAAAAAGGUCAGGCAGCACACAAAAGUUAUCAUAGUUAUACUGUCUGACAAAAACUCAACCAACAUAAAGAGAUAGAAACUAGGACACAUAGGGUGUUCUCCACUGAAAAACAGAAAAACACCAAAGAUGUUUGGGAGAAAGAAACUUCACAACAAAAAUGUUGGAACAAGAUCGACUCAAUUCAAAAAAAAAUAUUUAUUUAUCUCUGAAGGCUAUUUUUCUCAAGGUGUAAACUUGUGUUUUUUUUUUUUUAUUUUAUUUUUUCUUCUUUUAUUCAUUUUUUAUCCAUAGGAACUUAGUUCUCCUCAGUACCGUAAUGCCUUGCUUCCAUCAGAUCUUUACGCGCGGAUCAUCUCGUCAUUACGGUAAAAGCAGGCUGCAUGCGGCGCUGCUGGGUCCGGCAGACGCGGAGUUGGACUGAAAGACGCUGCAGCAGCGACCAGAUCACGGACACUUUCAUUCUCCUAGAGCCAUAAGCAUCACUUCAUCUGGUCAGGAACAACUUAGACGUGGCUUCCUUGGCGUUUGGAUCUCUUCUGAGGAUCUUGACAAGAACUUUGUGAUAUCUGAGAACAGGAAAGCCCAUAUUGGACUCCAUCCAGUCUUUGGCCGCCUGAAGAGAAGUCAAGACACCAUCUCCUUGCUCAAGCUCUCUGGCUGCACCAGCAUGGCAGACAGUCGACAGCCAGAAGACAGCGUGCCCCAGUGGGACCCAUCAGGGGGACAAGAACCGGGUGGCCCCCUUGGAGCGAACGGCUACCCUUCCUCAGUUUACAGAACCACGGCCCCUUACAGCACAAGGGAGAACGGCUUUAAUGGGGAACUAACUGGGCUCCGGCUGUAACUGCAGGUAGGAUGAUGUUCUGGUUUAUAUCAUCAGAUUUUAAUUUUAUAAAUGAAUACUGGAAAAGAUGUGUCAAACUGUUAGUGGUC
This 938-nucleotide long non-coding RNA is filed under the name Oryzias javanicus (javanese ricefish). RNAcentral's name for it is "lncRNA (ENSOJAG00000023982.1)". Lineage: Eukaryota; Metazoa; Chordata; Actinopteri; Beloniformes; Adrianichthyidae. The record is from RNAcentral.